This is a non-coding RNA of Paralichthys olivaceus (Japanese flounder), 215 nucleotides long. Lineage: Eukaryota; Metazoa; Chordata; Actinopteri; Pleuronectiformes; Paralichthyidae. The record is from RefSeq and is a predicted model, not a curated record.
GUCUACCAGGUUGUACUUCAUGUGGACCUAAGAAACCUCUAAGCUGUUCCACCAGUGUUACUGAGGAUCAACAGUGGUUUGUUGAAGCACCUGGAUUGUGUCACUGCUGGAUUUGUGAGUAGAUUUGAACAGUUAUUGGUUUGAAUGUAGUUGAUCUAUUGCUGCUUGUUCCAUGUGAGAUGUAGAGUUGUGUUCAAAGUAAUAGUGUGUUUUAA